UUUAUUGGAGAGUUUGAUCCUGGCUCAGGAUGAACGCUGGCGGCGUGCCUAAUACAUGCAAGUCGAGCGAAUGGA
This 75-nucleotide ribosomal RNA is filed under the name Bacillus anthracis (anthrax bacterium). Its description in RNAcentral is "partial 16S ribosomal RNA". It matches the Rfam family "Bacterial small subunit ribosomal RNA", at positions 1 to 74 of the family's 1533-position model. RNAcentral also lists the same sequence under 3 other names. Lineage: Bacteria; Bacillati; Bacillota; Bacilli; Caryophanales; Bacillaceae. The record is from RNAcentral.